GAGUCUCUUUUCCCGCUCUCGGCGCGCGCGAGGGAGGUGGCGGUUGAGAGAGCCGCUGAGGGCAAGUACCAAGCGGGGUGUUUGAAAAGCGCGGGAAGAGCUGUGGGGGCUGGAGCCAACCAAGUAUAGGCAAAACCCACACAGUUUUGACGAAACAUUUCACUUCAGAAUAUAAGAUCAGACCAUGGCUUCUUCAAAAUGUGUAAACAACCCUGAUGCCUUUUGUUAUGUAUGUGGCUGCUACGCAUUUCCUCAUCAAAGAUGCAAUAUAACAGCGUUUGUGAGGCGUGCCUAUAAAAGCUAUUUUGAAAUUCCCCUGGGUGACCAAGACAAGAAAUGGGCUCCGCAUAUUGUCUGUCACAAUUGUGAGGAAAUGCUUAGAGACUGGACAAAAGGAAAAUGGAAGAGUAUGCCUUUUGGGGUUCCUAUGGUUUGUUGAGAACCCAAGGAUCACACAAGUGAUUGCUAUUUUUGUCUGGUCAAUAUGAAGGGUAUCGGCAAGAAAAACCGACAUGCUGUCGCCUAUCCCAGUAUUCCUUUAGCAAUUAGACCUAUCCCGCACUCUGAGGAACUCCCAAUUCCAGUUUUUAAGGGGUUUGUCUCUUCUGAAGAUGAAGGAAGUGAACAUGGUGAGGAAGAUCAUGAGGAUUUUGGGAAGGUGCAUUGAGAAAUGGCUGUAGAAUCCGAAGACGACUCAUCUUAGUAGCGAUCAGCUCCACAGCAGUUUGGCCAACGGGAACUGAAUGACUUAGUGCGUGAUUUGGGCCUCUCCAAGAAGGCAGCUGAGUUAUUAGCAUCCAGGUUGCAAGAAAAACAUCUACUGCACCACUCGGCAAAAGUGACAUAUUUCUGAAAGAGGGACCAGGAUUUUAUGGGCUUCUUUUCAAAAGACAAGCGCUUUGUUUACUGUCAUAAUAUUCCAGGCCUUCUCUGCCAAUUAGGCAUUACAUCAUACAAUUCAACAGAAUGACGCUGAUUUCUUGAUAGCUCCAAGCGCAGUCUCAAGUAUGUUUUCUUGCAGAACGGAAACGUGUAUGGAGUGGUUCCCGUUGGUCAUCAUUGAUGAUGAUGUGGAGGUGAAAAUGAGUGAGGAAGAUGAGGGUGCAAGAAGGCUGAAUUUAAUAAGCCCCAAUGGACUCCUACGGACCUGGAAUUUCAAGGAAUCCAGCAGAAAAAGAAAUUGACAGUGUGUGAGCAAAAAGAGAAAAUCAAGGUACAGCACAUAGUUCUGGACUAUGCCCCACUGAAUUCAGUGGGAUUUUCUUCUGAUUAAACAUGCCCAGUCUUAAGUUGAAAGAAGAAGAAAACAUGCUUGGGCAGGAUAUGAAGAGAAACACAUGUGAGGAGUGGGAGCAAGGUACAGGCACUUUACUUGAGGAAUAUGUAUCUACAGCAUCAGCUGCAACAUGCUAGCAGAAGCCUGUAUUAAGGAGGAGAGGGAAAGUAAUGUGUAAAUAUUACCUGUUGGAUUGUGAUAAUUACACCUUGAAAGUAAAUAGGGUGAACAUGCCUUGCUCCAUUGCAACCACUCACCACCAGAACACAGACAGACUCUUGUUGAUGGUAUAUAGUUUCCAAUCUAUUGUUCCAGUAAGCUUUGCACACAGGGGUUUUAAAGUUAAAACAUGGAAACAGAUUGGGAUUGAAAAUUAACACCUGCCACUGAAGUAUCAGUAGUUUUACAUGGUGUGGCUUAUUCUGCUCAACUUCUGUAUCAGGUAAUUUCAUGUAUAGGUAUAAAGAAACAUCUGUACACAGCAUCUGUGUAUGUUCAGUUUAAAAAUAAAUCCAUUUCAAAACAC
Podarcis raffonei (Aeolian wall lizard) is the source of this 1802-nucleotide long non-coding RNA. RefSeq lists it as uncharacterized. NCBI's taxonomy places the organism in Eukaryota, Metazoa, Chordata, Lepidosauria, Squamata, Lacertidae. The record is from RefSeq and is a predicted model, not a curated record. The transcript has 4 exons.